RNAcentral lists this ribosomal RNA (414 nucleotides) under uncultured microorganism. Its description in RNAcentral is "bacterial SSU rRNA". It matches the Rfam family "Archaeal small subunit ribosomal RNA", at positions 459 to 872 of the family's 1478-position model. The record is from RNAcentral.
CAGCCGCCGCGGUAAUACCGGCGGCCCGAGUGGCGGUCACUAUUAUUGGGCUUAAAGCGUCCGUAGCCGGGUUGGGAAGUCCUCCGGGAAAUCUGGCCGCUUAACGGUCAGAAUGCCGGAGGAUACUCCCAGCCUAGGGAGCGGGAGAGGCCGAGGGGAUUCCCGGAGUAGGGGUGGAAUCCUAUAAUCCCGGGAGGACCACCUGUGGCGAAGGCGCUCGGCUGGAACGCGUCCGACGGUGAGGGACGAAGGCCAGGGGAGCAAACCGGAUUAGAUACCCGGGUAGUCCUGGCUGUAAACGAUGCGGACUUUGUGUCGGACAAGCUAUGAGCUUGUCCGGUGCCGGAGGGAAACCGUUAAGUCCGCCGCCUGGGGAGUACGGCCGCAAGGCUGAAACUUAAAGGAAUUGGCGGG